Molecule: ribosomal RNA, 253 nt
Filed under: uncultured bacterium
Lineage: Bacteria
Description: partial 16S ribosomal RNA
Rfam family: Bacterial small subunit ribosomal RNA
Source: RNAcentral
UACGUAGGGCGCGAGCGUUAAUCGGAAUUACUGGGCGUAAAGCGGGCGCAGACGGUUACUUAAGCAGGAUGUGAAAUCCCCGGGCUCAACCUGGGAACUGCGUUCUGAACUGGGUGACUAGAGUGUGUCAGAGGGAGGUAGAAUUCCACGUGUAGCAGUGAAAUGCGUAGAGAUGUGGAGGAAUACCGAUGGCGAAGGCAGCCUCCUGGGAUAACACUGACGUUCAUGCCCGAAAGCGUGGGGAGCAAACAGG